CCGUACAGACCAUGAGAAGUGGAUUCGAUUGACACAUGAGAAAUUGGUGAGUUAUAGGCUCGGCCGUACGACCACGGGAGUGGAUCCGGCCGACGUAUUAUUGAGAUAAGAGUUGAAUCAGCCGUAUUGGUCAUUCUAGUUGACUUCGGCUGAUAUAUUUCUUAUUAUGUAUGUUAUUACCUAGAGAGUAGUAAAUAAAUGUAGUUGAGACGAGGUAUGUAUUUUGCAUUGAGAACAAAAUAGUAAUGUUAUAUUUUUGAGAGUGGUUGCCUACUUAUCGAGACAACGAUGAUUUAUCAGUAUUGCGGGCUGCAGACCGUAAUAUUAAUAACUCAUUCGUGGAUUCGUUAAGCAAGCAAACCGGUAGAUUAUUUUAUGUUAGUAUUGUACUUAUUCAGAAUGCUUAGUAGUAAUAGAGUAUGUAUUGUGUCGGUUAAAUUAUUUCCAUUAGAUUGGUUGGUUAUAAUUGUGACAAGACGGAAUGUUAAGGGAAACCAGUACUUUCCAUCGAUCUGGAUGACCAGAGAUUACUUUUGUAAGUAUGCAAAGUGGAUUGAGUCAGGCCGUUAUUUAUGCUGUGAGAGCAAAGAGAUUGUUUCGAAAGGCUGUAAAAAAUAUUAGCUCGUGUGGUGCUAAAUGAUGUUGUUUGGAGUAGUGUGAAUAAUGUCAAAAAGGGGUUAGACUUUUCUUGAUGUCUUCCCUGAAAGUAUACCUGGAUUGCCUUCAGGCAGAGAUAUGAGGUUCACUAUUGAUUUGUUGCCAGGUAUAAAUCUAUGUUAAAGAUUGGUUCAGGAUGAGUUAAGGGAAUUGGAAAUUCAGUUGAAAAGAAUUGGUUGAUAAAAGUUCAUUCAACCUAGUACAACAUUUUUGAGGAGCCCCAGUUUGUUGGUGAGGAAGAAAAUGGACUUAGAGAUUGUUCAUUGAUUAUAGACAAUGGAGUCGGGUAACGAUUAAGAACCGUUAUCCAUGGUAAUGUACUGAUGUUUAUUUAACCAGCUCAGAAGUAAUUGCGAAGAUUCAAAGAUUGAAUUGAGAUCUGGUUACUACCAAUUGAAUAUUAUAAGUGACGUUGAUCAUAAGAUGGUUUUCUGGACUUGUUAUGGUCCUUAUGAAGUUUGGUGAUGCAUGUGGAUACUCAUGCUGUUUUAUGAGUUGAUGGAUGAAGUAUCCAAUAAUGCCUUGAUAGAUUGAUAUCAUUUUUAUUGAAGAUAUUCUGGCAUAUUCUGAGCCAGAGCAGAGCAUGUAAACGUAUUAAGUCGGUUGAACCAAAGAUUGAGAGAACGUUGGUUGUAUGCUAAGUAGCAAUGCUAAAGUUAGACGAAUCAGGUGGCAUUCUGAGAUUUGUUAUAUAUUCUUAAGGUAUUCAAGUGAAUCCUUAAAAGAUAGCAGAAAUUGAGAAAUUGGAACAACCACGAGCUGUAAUUGAGAUUCAGAAUUUCUUAGCUUACCAGGCUAUCUUGGAUGGUUGUGAAAGAUUUUUCAGUCAUUGCUUUGUCAUUGACGAGACUGUUGAGAAAAGAGGUUAUGUAUGAGUGGAAGGAAAUUGUGAGCAAAGGAUUCAACAACUGAAGUAUUUCCUCACUCAUGCACGUAUUUUGGUAUUCCCAGAGAAUAGUGGUAAUCAUAAAUUUUUAGUGAUGUUUCUUGAAUGGUAUUGGAAUGCAUGUUGAUGCAAAUGUUAGGGUGAUUGCAUACGUUUCACGAUAAAUGGAAUCUCAUAAGAUGAAUUACCCUACGGGUGACUUAGAAAUCAUGAUUACCAUUCUUGCUGUGAAGUUAUGAAGGCAUUAUAUUUGGUAAGAAUGCAAGAUUUUUACGAAUCCAAAAAGUCUUCAAUAUCCAUUACUUGGAAGGAUUUUGAUAUGAGGCAGCGAAAGUGAAUUGUAUUGCUUAAUGAACAUGAUUGUACGAUCAGGGUGAUCGUAAAGUUUGUUCUAACUGAAGCACUUGGUGAGAAGACUACAGUAAGAUUAAUGUCUGGCACGUUUGCCAAGAGUAUCAUCUUGUGGAUUGAAAACCAACGGAAGAAAAAUUAAGAAUGGAAGAUCGAGAAGAAGUUAUACUUGUUAAAUUUCAAGUUAGGCCUGUUUGGUAAGGUCGUACUUGAAACUUAAAUGCUUGACGAAAUUUAAGAAUUAACCAAGGUAGAGAAAGAAGGUAAGUUAAAUCCUAAGUUAAUCGGACUUAAGUGAUUAUCGAAAAGUUGGUGAAGUUGCUUACAAGCUUGUGAUGCCCUCAGAAUUGGUUAAGGUGCAAAACAUAUUUUAUGAUUCGAUGCGUUGUCACUAGGUGGCAGAUUCGUCACAUGAGAUUCUGGUGUAACUAUUGAGAAUUAAAUUGGAUUCGACUUGAUAAGGAAUCAAGGACGACUUUGGAUUGGAAAAAGAAGGUCCUGAGAAUUAAGACAGAGUUAAGUAAUAAAAGCUUUGUUGAAGGAAAUCAUUCAGUAGAAAAGUAUGUGGGAGAAAGAGAAUCGGAUGAGAAAGAUUUACCCGAAGCUAUUGUUGGAGUAUGGUUGAUUUAGUUGGUUGCUAGAAUUUCGGGGACGAAAUUCUAUAAGGAGGGAAAAUUGUCACAGCCCGUCCCGGAAUUUUAAUUCCGAGGACAUGAAAAGACGAAAAUGCCCUUAAACGGGACUAAGGGGCGAAAAUUUAACAAUUUGGAUUGAGUUGGACACGUGGGAUCCCACCACCCUCAAUCCUCUCCCUAUUUUCUGCAUACUGUCUCUCUCUCUCCUCCCUCACGAAUCUCUCUCUCUCUGUCACUCUUCUUCUCCGUUCGAACAAACCAACCACAAAACAACCUUAAACUUCCACCAACGACGGAGUUAAGACCACCAUCGAACUCCUGGAGACUCCACGAUCACGUAGACACCAAUUUCAGGUAAGUUUUACUUCGGAAAACCUAGAUUCUAAACUCCCCGUGAAAGUGCACUGUUCAUGAUCUUCGAAUUGACUUUGUUUUAGGACAAUCCAAGCUCACAGUGAGCUUAGUGAGGUUCCAAGGAAGCUCGGAGUGCUUCGUUGGAAGUUUUUGGACGUAAGAACACGGAGAUCGAUAAGUUCAAAGUUUGGCCGGAGCUUUCGAGGCAUUUUCCGGCGAAUCCCCGGCGAGUUAGGCGUCGAGGUAGGUAUCAAUCUCUUCGUCUCGUCAAGUACUACAACUUUCCUUUUUGUUUCACUCAAUUUCGUUGAGUAUUGAAGAAGUUAUACUCAUUUGAAAAAUACCCAGUUUCCGGCGACCUCCAAGGCUUUCGAGGCAGUUUCCGGCCAAACUACGGCGAACUAGGUGUUGGAAAGGUACCAUUCUCUUUGUCUCUUCAAGGGCUACAACUUUCGUUUUUGAAUCACUUGAUUUCGUUGAGAAAUGACAAAGUUAUGGCAAUUUGAAAAACUGCCCAGAAAACGGCCGCCGGAAAAACCAGUCCGGCGACCCAAGGAAGAAGAAGGUGCUACAGUAAAAAUAAAAAAUAAAAAUAAAAUUAUUUUAAAAAUAUGUCGACGUCCGUGACGUCGAGUAGAUCACUGUGGUAUAUUCAUAUACCUAAAUUGAACACCGUAUGAGAAAGUUAUUGAAGAUUGUUGGUUAGGUGUUCAAAUAACGUUUUAUAGUUUUCACAUUUAGGUGAAAAUGUGAAUUGAUGAUCCGACCGUUGGAUCGUCACCAAACUUUGAUACGUUGUAAUACGUAAUAUUUGAGGAUUAUUGGAACUUACGGAUUGGGAAUCCGAGUUACGGAUCUUUCCGGAAUUGGAAUUGUAAGUCCAUAAUAUAAAAUGUUAACCGUCACUUAGUUUUGGAAAUUGACGGAGAUCCGACCGUUGGAUGGUAAUGAAAUUUUAGGAUGUUGUCCUAGAGGUAUAAUGUGGACCUCUGGAAGUUAUGGAUUUAAAAAUCUGAGGGGUGGAUCUUCCGGAUCAAUCUACGUAGUGACGUAUUUUAUAUAAGUUAUAUAUUCUAUCGAUAUGAAUUCUGAGGUUGGAAUUGAUUAUUGUUUUAGGCGCCGAUCGUCAUGACGCCUUGGCGUAUUGUGCUAGGGAGUUGUAGGGCGAACUCCAGGUGAGUGGGCAGUUUUGUUUUCCGUAUAUAUAUAUAUACUUAACGUUUUCCCAGAAAUUGAAAAAUGCAUGAAAUUAUGUUUUAAAAUGAAAUGCAUAUGAGUUAUGUGGAAAAACGGGAAGUGAAAUACCAUGCAUAGAAUUGAUAUGAAAAGUAUAUAGAAAUGUGAGUUGAAAUGCCAUGCAUGAAUUAAUAUAUGAUGCAUAUGUAUGAAUUGGUGCGGUGGACGCACAGGUAAGAAUUGAUUUAUGAUGCAUAUGUAUGAAAUGGUGCGGUGGACGCACAGAUGAGUAUUUAAUUACUGUUAUGAUGAUGAUGAUAUAUAUUGAGCUCAAAUCCUGCACCAUGGUUUAGUGCUUAUAGUAUUCACCGCAUCGCACGCUCGCCUUGGAUCCAAGUAGAUGCUAGUCGUACAGUCCACGCGGAGUGGGUACGACAGACCAGUCGCGAGAGUGUUAGUGAGAUUCCGACUGGUGGGUGACCUUAGAUUAUGUGCACAGAUGAUUUAUGAGAAGCACUAGAGCGUAACUUGUGUGCAGAAGGCCGGACGGGUCACAGAGGUGACUCCGGUAGAGUGAUAAUGAUAGAUUUUGAGCUCUAGGUUCAACCGUAUAGGGCUAUUAGAGGGCCUACGGUUGAUUACUUUCUUGCACCUGAUAUGAUUAUGUUGAUGCAUUCAUACCUUAUUACUGUUGAGAUGAUGUGGCAUGGCAUAAUUAAUAUGAGAAAUGUUGAGAUGAUGUGGCAUGGCAUAAUUAAUAUGAGAAAUGUUGAGAUGACAUGGCAUGGCAUGAUUGAUAAAGAGAUAAUGUUGAGAUAGUAAAAAUGAAGUUUUGAGAAUAUAUAUGUAUAUUUAUAUUUUACAUUUCUGGGAAAGUAUACAGGUUUUACGGAGAGGGGUUACAACGUUUUGAGAAAUGUUUGGAUUUGGAAAAGAAUUGUUUUACUGACCCACUCAAUUUUGGUUUUGCGCCCCUCCAGGUUCAGGAAUCACAAAGGUGUGGUGACUACGAGGAAUUCGACGGUGUUCUGACAGAUUGGACAAAAUUAGGACUCACCUUCGGGUGUAUCAAUUUAAAUUGUAUCUUAAAGCUUCCGUACUGUGCAAAUGGUUACGUCACUCUCACGUGACGGCCAGCAUGCCCUCCUUCGGGACGGGGUGUGUCAAUCUAACCUUGGUGAAGAGACUUAGAGGUUCUCAAUUUUGGGAACUUGGAGAAACCUAUUCAUCCAACCAAAUCCAUAGAUUUUAGAUGCAAGGAAUGAAGGCCCUCUCUUUGGGUGAUUAGCCUUUGCUUAUGCAAGGAGGAAUCUACAAAGGUAAUAAUUUCAACUCACUUUGUUUUGAGAUGAUAAUUGGUUCACCAAUCUACUAGGCUUUGAAUUUCAUGGUAAUGUUUUGUUUUUGAGUGCAUACAAGCAUGAUUCCGCCUUUAAUUGUUAAUUGCAUGCUAUAUGAUGUUGCUCAAAUGAACAUGUUUUUCAAAAUAAUUCCUUCAUAUAUAUAUAUAAAAACUUGGUCCACUCACCCUUGUUUUGUGCCCCCUUUCAGGAUUUAGAAUCGAGGCAUAUGAUGCGAAUUUUAACUUAACACAAAUUAAACCCUCUUGUUGUCAAAUUGUAGUAUAAAUGCAAGUAGGAAUCGUUUUAAACCAGGGAUUAGGAGGGCUUGCUCAAACCUCUAAACUAACUUAAAAAUAUAUAAACAAAGUUAAAAACACUAAACUAGACUCAAAGAACUUAAAACAAACUCAAAGGACUCAAAACAAGCUAAAAAUGCUCAAAUCAACCUAAAAACACAAACUGGGCAGAUUUGGACUCUAACACUUUUGGGACACCUAAAAACACAAAUCAAAAUAGAUUUUGACUAAUAAAACACUUUAAAGUAAAGGGGGUUUUGGCUUUGACGAAUUUGAAAACAAAACAAGUAAAUUAAAGAACUAAUGAAGUCUGCACGAAUUUGAGUAAAUUGAAUGGAUGGAAGGCUAGCUAGGAGGUUCUUCUCCACAAAUGACAUACUUGCACAUAAACCAAUUUUUAGUUGUUCUUUCGAUCAAUCAUGAAACUCAACACCCCAGGUUAAUUAAGUCCGCUUAAAUUAACCUUCAAGUUCUCCUUAAGUUAUUGAAUUGGAUGAGAAAGCGCAUACAACAAUUCAAGCAUUCUUCAAAAGUUCUUUACGUGAACAGCACAAUAAAGAUACAAUCAAAGAUCAUUAAGCAUUAUGAAAACUAUAAGUAUUGACGAGACACUCGUUACUAUGAUGAGCAUGAAACUCCUGCCAAUAAUUUAUUUAACGCGAUCGUUUAUAAGCGACCUCCACUACUUGUGAAUAUGAGUUCGUAAUUAUUAGGUGAAACUCCCUUAUACUCUAGCAUCAUAUUCAUGCAUGCAAACUAAGUGUGCACUCUUAAUAAACAUACACGAAUAAGUUAUCAAUCAAGCAGUUAAACAAAUUGAAUCCACAACUUAUGAAAUCACAACUGAAGGUAAUCAAAUCAUAUUGCAAGCAUGAACAUGGUUUCGAAUUCCCCCCUAGCUAAGGGGGGUUUAGUUCCUCAUACUCAUAAAGCAAAGAUAAACAAAUUUAGACAUUGAAAACAAAAGAAUGAAAACACCUAAAAACACUCAAACAAUCCAACUUGAAUGGCAAGCACGUCCAAGGGUCAUCCAUCUUCUCUUUGUUGCGGCACAAGGUGUGGUUUGAUGGAUGAGUGGUAAAUUAUGGUGGUGGAUGGAUAUAGGUGAGUUAUGGUGAAGGGUGGAUGGGUGGAUUGUGUUCUCCCCCAAGGAAUGAAAGUGUAAGUGUAUGGAGUUGUGAGAUGUGAAUGUAGUGUCUUUGGAUGGAUCUUUUCUCCUCCCUUGUUAUGGUGAAGGGUGGAUGUAUUUAUAGGCUAGGGAGAGGACCACCAUCUAAUUAAGGUGGUAGUGGUGUAUGUUGUGGUAAUGUGUGGAUAUAAUGAGUGUAGUGGGUGAGUGUUUGGUAAUGAGUGGAUGUAAUGGGUGUAGUGGAUGGAUGUUUGGUAAUGAGUGGAUGUAAUGGGUGUAGUGGAUGAGUGUUUGGUAAUGAGUGGAUGUAAUGGGUGUAGUGGAUGGAUGUUUGGUAAUGAGUGGAUGGGUGUAGUGGAUGAGUGUUUGGUAAUGAGUGGAUGUAAUGGGUGUAUUGGAUGGAUGCUUGGUAAUGAGUGGAUGGAAUGGGUGUAGUGGAUGAGUGUUUGUAGUUAUAGGUCAACACACUUGCACGCACACAUGCUGAUUUCUAGCCUUCUAAUCUUCAAAAACGUCCAUCCUCAUGUCUCCAUGCUUGCACUAUCCAAUCUUGGCCCAAAAAUGCUCCAAAGUGCUCCAAAUAGCACUUUGUUGCCAACUUUGUUAUUUGAACCUACAAACACACGAAAAUAGCUUAAAGUACUAAAAUAACUAGAAUUAAACUAAUUAAAUGCCAAGAAACAAGCUCACUAAGUUGCAUAAAUAUGCUCUUAUCAAAUUCCCUCACACUUAGCUUUAGCUAGUCCUCGAGCAAAACAAAAGAAACAGAACGAAACAAAACAAACAAAACAAACAAAACACAACCUAACCAUCCAACAUUUGCCUCAGGGAUUUCCAAUGCACAUGACAUGUUAAAAAUCAUCAUUCCCAAGAUUUUGGUUAUCUUCACACUUGAGCAUAAACUUAAUCACAGUCACUACUUACUAGUUCACAAUUAACCAAUUAAAACAAUGUUUUGAAUGUAGUAACAUGCCUUAGGGAAUUUGCUCAAUUCCUUACAAGAUACUUUCUAUUUCUCACACACAUUUUCUGACUACACACCCUACACUAGUAUAUGUGAGAAGAUUAAUGUAAACACAAAAGACUAGGACUCACAUAUGUUAUAACAAAGAAAGCAAUUUUCUGGAGUUAUUAAGCAUCUUUAGAUAUGAUCUCAUGAAUGGAAUGCUACUACUUAGAUGCGAGAACCAGUGACACCAUAUGCUCAUACCAAUUUCGAACUCCACAAAUUGAAACACACAACACUCAAGAUUGAAGUCAAGGGUUGUAACAGGGCUUGGGGGUAAUGGCUAAUAAAGAAAGGAUAGGAAUAACAAACGUUCUUAAAGCGAUAGCAAGCAAAGCAAUGAAAUAGACACUUGGAAUUCACUUUAGAAUGCAGAAUCAACUUUUAAAUACAAAGGGAAGAUUCAUGCAACACUUAGGGCCGAAUUCAAUGUUUUGGACCCUUUUUUAACAAACUUUUUUCUUUUCACUCUUUUUUUUUUUCUUUUCUACCCGUGCCUUAUUAAGGACUUUGGCACACACACACACACACACACACACAAGAAUCACUUCCCCCACACUUGCUUUCUGCAAUACAUUGAUAAAAAAGGAGUUCAUUUUAAGUCAUGCUUUACUAUGCUUCAAGAACAAGGGUAUGGAUGGUCCUAAAACUAGGCUAGGUAAGGAUAGUGUGGUUUAACAAAGAACAUAGGUUUAACAAGGCUUAAUGAGGUUAAACUUAAACACAUAAUGAAAUAGGGGCACAGCAAUUUGGCUUUGGUGGUCACUACACAACUUCAUCUUGAAAAUGUGUUAUGCAAAUCAUUAGCAUGCUUUGAAUGAAAUAGGCAUGAGUUCUAGCAUUUGGAACUAAAUGAUGAAACGCCUUCUAAGUAGCAACCAAGCAAAGAAUAAUGAGAUCAUGCAACGACUUUAGAAAACAAUUAUGCACAGAUUAUUAACUCUCUUUAACAUGUUACAAAACUGAUUUUUCCUUUAUGAUUGCAUGUGAAUUCAUAAAUUAUAACCACAACCAAGCAUACACCAAAGAGUAAAUCAAAAUUUCAUCCAUGUUUAUAACUCUCUUUAAUAGUCAUGUAAUUAAAAACCAAAUCCUCAUCAUUGUGUUGGAAGGUACCCUAAGACACAAAUAAACAUACAAAAAUAACUCUUUUUGGGUUUUUCAAAACAAUUUUUCAAAUUUUUAUGAGAUUUUCGGAUUUUUAUGUCAAAACACACUAAAACACUCCAAAACAGCUUAAAAACACUUAAAACAGUAAGGAACAACACUAGAAGUAAUGGGUGAUAAACUCCUACGAAUUUCAUGCAAAACAAUGGUUAGCCCCCCCACACUUAAAUUAAACAUUGUCCUCAAUGUUUCAAGCAUAAACUCACACACAAAAAAUAAGCAAACAAACAAACAACGAAUAAACAUGACAAGUAUGGCAAAGUAAAAACCAGACAGAGUAGAAUUUAAGAACGCAAAUCUGGUUUUGGAGAUAGAUGAUCUUGUUGUCUUUCCAUAGCUUUGAUCUCGAACUGGUUUGGAAUUCUGAGCGAGGAAUAUGAGAGUUCCUUAGUUUCAAUUCAGACUCCUUCUGCUGGGUUGAUUUGAUUGUGCAGUCUGCAUUCUUAUCUGCUUGUUUUUUUUGCACGGCAGGCAGGCACGAGGUAGAGGUGUUGGUUUGUUUCUUUCUUCAAUCUUUCCAAGUGCCCACCUCUUGCUUUCUUUCUCCUUGUCCGUAGCUGAGGAUGAAUUAGCAAAAUGUCUGCACAUCCUUCGAGGUAUCAUUUUCACUUUCCUUAUCUGUUCCCCAGACAGAUGUGGUAGACGAAGAGGAAGCAUAAGAUGAUGAAGAUGAGUACUCGAAAGCAAGGCUAGGUAAGCAAUCAGGAAGGGGUUCCAGGCAGUCGGUUCCAGAUUAGAAAAUUGAUAUCAAGUGCUGGCUGAUUGCUCUCUUUCUCCUUGUCCCAAAACAACGACAAGGAGAAGGACAGGGAGAAAGCAUGAUAUGAGAUACUCUUGCUUUCAACCUUCAUGAUAUGAAAUACUUUUGCUUUGGAUGAGUUAUUUGCAGAGGUACCCCAAGGAAAAGUUGUUUGCAGAGGUACCCUAAGGAAUAAGAAACACUGAGUGACUCGAGAGGGUUUGUUGGAAAGGCAUUCUCGGAGAAGAAGAAGGGUUAUGUAUGUUUGCCUUGCAAUGGAGGGUGAAGGGUGACAUUUAUAUGAAUUAAUAACCGGUACUAUUCUUUCACUCUUGUCAGUAACCGUUGGAUGAUUUAAUAGUAAACUUCACGUUCUUUCUACUUCACAAGAGAUCUUCGACAGAUUGCUCGUAAUUUUUGCAAGGCUGAGUGUGCAUGUGACAGGCGCUGACACGUCUGGAAAUCCAAGUGCCUUUUCGAUAUCUGGAAUCGGCGCUUCAACAAACUACCCGUGAUUUUGCAUGUGAUAGAUGCUGACACGUCUGGAAAAACAGAUGUCUCUCCAAUAUCUGGAAUCAGCGCUUCGACAAACUGCCCGUGAUUUCCGCAAAGCUGACUCUGAAUGUGACUGAUGCUGACACGUCUGGAAAAACAGAUGCCUCUCCGAUAUCUGAGCUUGCCUCUUCGAUCUCUGAAAUUCCGUCGAGUGCAGAGGUUGCAUGUGACAAGUGCGGACAAAUCUGGAAAAGAAGAUUGGGCGUGGUUUCUGAGCAAGCCCAGCUUUUGAGAAAGCUAGCGCCCCUUCGAUUUUUGAGUUGGCCUCUUCGAUUUCUAAGCUCGCCUCUUCGAUCUUUGAAAUCCUGUCGAGUGCUAAUUUUUAUAGAGGUAUGCAGGACGUUCAAAGCACACUUCAAUUUCUGCCUGUACAAACUCCAUUCUUGCACUUCUACGAUCUUGACUUGUCCGACCUCUUCUUUCUUUAACACCUCUGAAAAUGUCUGGCCUCUCUGACCGUCGUUUUGACUUGAACCUUGGUGAAGAGGUAGUCCCGCAUUCUCCAGACAACAUAUGGCGCCCAUCCUUCAUAUCCCCUACUGGUCCCCUUACCGUUGGGGAUUCGGUGAUGAAGAAUGAUAUGAUAGCUGCGGUGGUGGCCAGGAACCGUGUCACUCCCAAAGCUAACAGACUACUUGGCAAACGGUCUGAUGAGUUGGCUGUUAAGGAUUCUCUGGCUCUCAGUGUGCAGUGUGCAGGUUCUGUGUCCAAUAUGGCCCAACGCCUAUUUGCUCGAACCCGUCAAGUUGAAUCAUUGGCGGCUGAAGUGAUGAGUCUCAAACAGGAGAUUAGAAGGCUCAAGCAUGAGAAUAAACAGUUGCACAGGCUCGCACAUAACUAUGCUACAAACAUGAAGAGGAAGAUUGACCAGAUGCAGGAAUCUGAUGGUCAUAUUUUACUUGAUCAUCAGAGGUUUGUGGGUUUGUUCCAACAGCAUUUUCCUUCGUCUUCUGGGGCUGUAUCGCGUAAUGAAGCUCCAAAUGAUCAACCUCCGAUGCUUCCUCCUUCUGGGGCUCCGCCGACUACUGAGACUUCUCCUAAGCAGCCUUUGUGAAGGCUUCCUCUUGUAGCUUUUUUCUGCUUAAUGUUCCCUUUUUUUAUGAAAAUGAAUGUAAAAAUACCUUGCAUAACUGUCAGUGUUUUAAAAAUAAAUCCACAAAAAAAACAAUUAAACAAGCAAAAAUAAAAAUAACAAUCAUGGCAAAAUAAAACUACAGAAAAGGGAAGGUUUUUAGGAAUGCAAAACCAAUCGUGGAGCAAUUCAAAAAUCUUCCUUAUUUGAAUACAUGGGUUGCCUCCCAAGAAGCGCUUGCUUUAAUGUCUUCCAGCCGGACGAAACUUCCUUCUAAACUUGGAUAGGGCCCAUAGCAUGGAAUUGAUUCUUGAAUGGAAGGUGAUACUUGACGUGAUUCGGCAAUGGUUUAAAUUCUAGUGUAGGUGCCUGAAUCAUCAAAAUCAGCAAGUUAGUAUAUAAUAAAAUCGAAGUUGGAGAAGAUGGCUUACUUGCUUGCUCCAACACAAACUCAAUUACGAACACCAUAUCUUUGAAGGUUGCAGGGAUAUGGGACUUGGCCAGAUUUGGUGUUUUGAGAGUUAUGACUUGUCCUGUGUCAUAAAAUCCAACUUCUUAGGGAAUUUUCAUCUCAAAUGUAUCUUCUUUGAUGAAUUCUAGACAUUCCCCAUCCACUUCUUGCUCUUGAUUCGUUGGAAAGGUUUCGAAGAUGCCUUUCUCACCUUCUUCUUCCUUGGAUUGCAUGAUCCUGCAAGGAAUAAGGACAUUUGGUGAAACGAGGUCAGGACAAAUUGGAUUUAGGCUUACCUUGGUUGUAGUGGACGACAUAGAUGGCAUAUGGGGUUGUGGCAAAGGUGGUUCUUCCCUUGCUGUGGCUUUGUUAUUCUCCUCUUAUUCGAGCAGCAGUUGUUCAUCCAUGUUUUGGCUUGGUUUGGAUGUCUUGGGUUCACCUCCAACCUCCAUAGCACUUCCCAAAGUGAUAGCAUCAUGGAUUUCAAAAUCUUCCUUCAAAUUUUUAAUAGUUGAGUUGGAGAGUUCACUUUGCUCUUGAAUUUGUGCCAUGAACUCCAUAAUCUGCCCAAUUUGCUUAUCCAAUUCUCCCGUCUUCUUGGCUUGAUUUUGCAUCUCUUUGUUUCCAUUUUCUACUUCUUGGUUCAAAGAGGUGAGUAACUUAUUAAACAUAUCAUUAUCCAAAGACGUGCCUUAAUUGAAUUGGGCAGAUUGUUGUGGUGGCUGCAUAGGUCUUGAGUAGAAUUCCUCUUCUUGCUGCCAAUAUCCAUCUUGUUGGAAUUGUUGAGGUUUUCCACACAUGUAAUCUAAAUAAUCUCUCCAAUCUGAAUUGUAAGCGUUGGAAAACAUGUUGUCCCAUGAUUGGCUAUGGCUUUGAUAACCCCAAGCAUCUUCAUUCGUAGUGAAUUGAGAACAUUGAUGAGUUGGAUAUCCUUGCCCAUAGGACACACCACAUGUAGGGACACUUUGCAUUGUGGUCCUUUCGGCAUAUUGUGACAAUUGAGAAGUAAGUUUCGCCAAUUGAGCUUGAAUGGUAGCAAAAUCCAUGUCUUACUUCUCUAGUACCUGAAAGCAAGGAAACAAAACUAAAACAAAUAUCAUAAGUAAAAAUAAAAGACACAAAUAGAAACAAAGUCAGUAACUAAAACAAAAGUCAUGAAAAAGAAACAAUGGGGGAUUAGCAAAGUUGCUAAUCCCAGGCAACGGCGCCAAAAAUUUGGUGCGAAAAUUACUUAACACACAAAUUAAACCCUCUUGUAUUAAUUGUAGUAAAGAAUGUAAGUAGGGAUCGUUCUGGACCGGGGAUUAGGAAGGCUUGCUAAUAACCUAUAAAUUGACUUAAAAACAUAUAAACAAAGUUAAAAACACUAAACUAGACUCAAAGAACUUAAAACAAACUCAAAGGACUCAAAACAAGCUAAACACGCUCAAACCUGCCUAAAAACACAAACUGGGCAGAUUUGGACUCUAACACACUUUUGGGACACCUAAAAACACAAAUCAAAACAGAUUUUGACUAAUAAAACACUUUAAAGUAAAUGGGGUUUUGGUUUUGACGAAUUUGAAAACAAAACAAGUAAAUUAAAGAACUAAUGAAAUCUGCACGAAUUUGAGUAAAUUGAAUGGAUGGAAGGCUAGCUAGGAGGUUCUUCUCCACACAUGACAUACUUGCACCUAAACCAAUUUUCAGUUGUUCUUUCGAUCAAUCAUGAAACUCAACACCCCAGGUUAAUUAAGUCCGCUUAAAUUAACCUUCAAGUUCUCCUUAAGUUAUUGAAUUAGAUGGGAAAACGCAUACAACAAUUCAAGCAUUCUUCAAAUGUUCUUUACGUGAACAGCACAAUAAAGAUACAAUCAAAGAUCAUUAAGCAUUAUGAAAACUAUAAGUAUUGAUGAGGCACUCGUUACUAUGAUGAGCAUGAAACUCCUGCCAAGAAUUUAUUUAACGCGAUCGUUUAUAAGCGACCUCCACUACUUGUGAAUAUAAGUUUGUAACUAUUAGGUGAAACUCCCUUAUACUCUAGCAUCAUAUUCAUGCAUGCAAACUAAGUGUGCACUCUUAAUAAACAUACAUGAAUAAGUUAUCAAUCAAGCAAUUAAACAAAUUGAAUUCACAACUUAUGAAAUCACAACUGAAGGUAAUCAAAUCAUAUUGCAAGCAUGAACAUGGUUUCGAAUUCCCCCCUAGCUAAAGGGGGUUUAGUUACUCAUACUCACAAAGCAAAGAUAAACAAAUUUAGACAUUGAAAACAAAAGAAUGAAAACACCUAAAAACGCUCCAACAAUCCAACUUGAAUGGCAAGCACGUCCAAGGGUCCUCCUUCUUCUCUUUGUUGCGGCACAAGGUGUGGUUUGAUGGAUGAGUGGUAAAUUAUGGUGGUGGAUGGAUAUAGGUGAGUUAUGGUGAAGGGUGGAUGGGUGGAUUAUGUUCUCCCCUAAGGAAUGAAAGUGUAAGUGUAUGGAGUUGUGAGAUGUGAAUGUAGUGUCUUUGGAUGGAUCUUUUCUCCUCCCUUGUUAUGGUGAAAGGUGGAUGUAUUUAUAGGCUAGGGAGAUGACCACCAUCUAAUUAAGGUGGUAGUGGUGUAUGUUGUGGUAAUGAGUGGAUGUAAUGGGUGUAGUGGGUGAGUGUUUGGUAAUGAGUGGAUGUAAUGGGUGUAGUGGAUGGAUGUUUGGUAAUGAGUGGAUGUAAUGGGUGUAGUGGAUGAGUGUUUGUAGUUGUAGGUCAACACACUUGCACACACACAUGCUGAUUUCUAGCCUUCUAAUCUUCAAAAACGUCCAUCCUUAUGUCUCCAUGCUUGCAUUAUCCAAUCUUGGCCCAAAAAUGCUCCAAAGUGCCAAAAUAGCACUUUGUUGCCAACUUUGUUAUUUGAACCUACAAACACAUGAAAAUAGCUUAAAGUACUAAAAUAACUAGAAUUAAACUAAGUAAAUGCCAAGAAACAAGCUCACUAAGUUGCAUAAAUAUGCUCCUAUCAGUAUACGAUCCCGACGUCAACGCUUUCACAUUGGCAUAUUCGAGUCCUCUCGGUAUAGAACCCACAUCCUUUUAUUUAUUCAAUUUUUUAUUAAUUCUUUUAGAGCUCUAGUUAGUUGUAUGCUCUAAAUACGUUCCUAAAUUUUUAACUCAUUGUAUUUAAAUUCAUAACCCUUAUUUACUUCUUAUUCUUAACUUUUAUAUCAAUUAGUGGCUUUCGUCACCCUCAGGUGUCGGCCA
RNAcentral lists this long non-coding RNA (15033 nucleotides) under Malus domestica (apple). RNAcentral's name for it is "long non-coding RNA (MDOM_LNC007531)". Lineage: Eukaryota; Viridiplantae; Streptophyta; Magnoliopsida; Rosales; Rosaceae. The record is from RNAcentral.